This 454-nucleotide ribosomal RNA is filed under the name uncultured Anaerolineaceae bacterium. RNAcentral describes it as "bacterial SSU rRNA". It matches the Rfam family "Bacterial small subunit ribosomal RNA", at positions 917 to 1381 of the family's 1533-position model. Lineage: Bacteria; Bacillati; Chloroflexota; Anaerolineae; Anaerolineales; Anaerolineaceae. The record is from RNAcentral.
UUGACGGGCCCGCACAAGCGGUGGAGCAUGUGGUUCAAUUCGAUGCAACCGAAGAACUUACCUGGGUUUGACAUAUAGGUUGUAGGGAACUGAAAAGGGACCGACCCUUCGGGGAGCCUAUACAGGUGUUGCAUGGCUGUCGUCAGCUCGUGUCGUGAGAUGUUCGGUUAAGUCCGCUAACGAGCGCAACCCUCGUCGUAUGUUAUAUGUGUCAUACGAGACUGCCGGUAAAAGCCGGAGGAAGGUGAGGAUGAUGUCAAGUCAGCAUGACCUUUAUAUCCAGGGCUACACACACGCUACAAUGGUCUGUACAAUGGGUAGCCAAGCCGCGAGGCGGAGCCAAUCCUGAAAGCAGGCCUCAGUUCAGAUUGCAGUCUGCAACUCGACUGCAUGAAGCCGGAGUUGCUAGUAACCGCAGGUCAGCAAUACUGCGGUGAAUACGUUCCCGGGUCUU